CAACUUGAGAGUUUGAUCCUGGCUCAGAACGAACGCUGGCGGCAGGCUUAACACAUGCAAGUCGAGCGCCCACUUCGGUGGGAGCGGCAGACGGGUGAGUAACGCGUGGGAAUCUACCUAGCUCUACGGAACAACCCAGGGAAACUUGGGCUAAUACCGUAUACGUCCUUCGGGAGAAAGAUUUAUCGGAGUUGGAUGAGCCCGCGUUGGAUUAGCUAGUUGGUGGGGUAAUGGCCUACCAAGGCGACGAUCCAUAGCUGGUCUGAGAGGAUGAUCAGCCACAUUGGGACUGAGACACGGCCCAAACUCCUACGGG
Molecule: ribosomal RNA, 316 nt
Filed under: Rhizobiaceae bacterium
Lineage: Bacteria; Pseudomonadati; Pseudomonadota; Alphaproteobacteria; Hyphomicrobiales; Rhizobiaceae
Description: bacterial SSU rRNA
Rfam family: Bacterial small subunit ribosomal RNA
Source: RNAcentral